This is a small nucleolar RNA of Tachyglossus aculeatus (Australian echidna), 138 nucleotides long. NCBI's taxonomy places the organism in Eukaryota, Metazoa, Chordata, Mammalia, Monotremata, Tachyglossidae. The record is from RefSeq and is a predicted model, not a curated record.
CCCCUCUCAUGGUCGCACCUGGAGAGUUUGCAGUAGUAUACCAGUCUUGGUGAUGGGAGGGAGAGUCCAGCAGAGGCCUACCCAUUCCAUUCCUAGCGUGGGCAGUGGCUAGCGAAUGGAAGGCAAUCUGCUACAAGU